CAGCAAUUAUACAAGAUCGUCGUUUAUCUUCGGUUUUGAUCGGCAAACUUCGUACGUGACUUUGGUAUUGGGAGUGACGCCAUUUUGUGGCCAACUGCGCAGUGCGGCCCCCCACCUCAGGUCGAGUAUAUAAAGCCGCCAUGACGUCAUGUGCCCAACAUUCGUUUUUCGUCGUGGUGAAGUGCAGAUGUGGCUACGUUGUGUGUUGUGCUGAAGAUUUCAAGAAGUGAUAAUUGUGCCUGGUCGGAUUCAGUCCCAUUGCGUUUCGCGUGGGCCUGCAUCCGUCGGCCGCCAUCUUGGUUGCCGCUGGGGCGUGGUCGCUGCUAGCUACAAAAUGGGUUUGUAAAACGGUAUCAUGCAUUUAUAUAAGUAGUUAAUUUUAAGUGUUUCAAUUUCUCACGCAUAACGAUUAAAUUGGAAUUUUGAUUUUUAUUCAUAUUGAAUAAUAAAAUUGUACAUAUGUUUAAGUAUGGAAAUAAACAAUUUUUGAAAAAAGAAA
Molecule: long non-coding RNA, 499 nt
Filed under: Helicoverpa zea (corn earworm)
Lineage: Eukaryota; Metazoa; Arthropoda; Insecta; Lepidoptera; Noctuidae
Description: uncharacterized LOC124639928, transcript variant X2
Source: RNAcentral